RNAcentral lists this transfer RNA (85 nucleotides) under Pelodiscus axenaria (Hunan softshell turtle). Its description in RNAcentral is "tRNA-Trp". The record is from RNAcentral. Lineage: Eukaryota; Metazoa; Chordata; Testudines; Trionychidae.
AGAAACUUAGGAUAAUAUUUUAAACCAGGGGCCUUCAACCCCCCAAAUAAGAGCCAAACAACUCUUAGUUUCUGCAACCACCCAU